RNAcentral lists this ribosomal RNA (500 nucleotides) under uncultured Glomeromycotina. Its description in RNAcentral is "partial small subunit ribosomal RNA". It matches the Rfam family "Eukaryotic small subunit ribosomal RNA", at positions 591 to 1092 of the family's 1831-position model. The record is from RNAcentral. Lineage: Eukaryota; Fungi; Glomeromycota.
CCAAUAGCGUAUAUUAAAGUUGUUGCAGUUAAAAAGCUCGUAGUUGAAUUUCGGGAUCAAUAUAUCGGUCGUGCCUUCGGUACGUACUGGUAUCAUUGGUUUCUCCUUUCUGACGAACCAUGAUGUCAUUAAUUUGGUGUUAUGGGGAGUUAGGACUGUUACUUUGAAAAAAUUAGAGUGUUUAAAGCAGGCUUUAGCUUGAAUACAUUAGCAUGGAAUAAUGAAAUAGGACGUUCGAACCUAUUUUGUUGGUUUCUAGGAUCAACGUAAUGAUUAAUAGGGAUAGUUGGGGGCAUUAGUAUUCAAUUGUCAGAGGUGAAAUUCUUGGAUUUAUUGAAGACUAACUACUGCGAAAGCAUUUGCCAAGGAUGUUUUCAUUAAUCAAGAACGAAAGUUAGGGGAUCGAAGACGAUCAGAUACCGUCGUAGUCUUAACCAUAAACUAUGCCGACUAGGGAUCGGAUGAUGUUAAUUUUUUAAUGACUCAUUCAGCGCCUUACG